Molecule: long non-coding RNA, 17915 nt
Filed under: Elaeis guineensis (African oil palm)
Lineage: Eukaryota; Viridiplantae; Streptophyta; Magnoliopsida; Arecales; Arecaceae
Description: long non-coding RNA (EGUI_LNC002462)
Source: RNAcentral
AGAUCUCCUCUAGGUGCCAUGAGGGCGAUCAAAGUAGUAGAACUCGGGUCAAGUGCUGGAGACCCUUGGACUAAGAUCUGUACGGUGUAAAGUAAAGAAAAUCGACAUAUGCUCUUAUAAAAUAAGAGGUACAUUGUAGCAUGUAUUUCAUACCACAUGUGUUUAAGGACUGUGAUUGGGAAGCAAGUGAAUGAAUCCCUGCUUUAUUGCUGAAUGAGUCCCUGAAAGGUAUAGAAUCCUUUCAAUUGAUACCCUUAUUACUUUGACAGUAUCAUGAGGUGAAGAGUUAGUGUAUGCUACUUUGGCAUGUAUCCAAAGGUUAUGAUAAUGCGAUCUAAAAGUAAUAUCAAAAAAGCAGCUAAUUCUGAUCUAAGUGGUAUAUGGGUGAAAAGAAGAUCGUGUUUGAUAUAUACGCACUAUGCUUGUAUAUGAGACAUGACUGGUAUGAAGUUAUUUCUAGGAGCAUCACAAGUAUGGACACAAGGAAUACUAGAUAUCAUAGUGGUAAGACUUUGGGUAAUAGAGACUCAUGAGGGAUUAGAGAUGCCACAUAUGAGUAUAUAUAGAUAGAUCUAGGAAAUCUAAGGCACUUUUAUGAUAGAUUUGAGUGAUAAAAGGGUUGUAGUCUCUUAUGCUGGUCCUGAGAUAGAUUUUUAGUAUAAGAGCUCCCGAGCUUAAUGCCUAGGCGGUCAUGGCGACACACUCAAUAUGAAAAUCCAAGAGAAAGCUCUGUGUAGAUCAUCCCAUUAUGUGCGAGUGGGAGAUAUUAGAAUAUGAGAUGCUCAUGAUGGGCUGACCCAUAUCAUGAGCCAACCCAAGUUAAGUAUUUGAUUUAACUAUUUGAACUUUGGGAGUUUGAAUUCAAAGGGUCAUUAGAUAUUAGAUAAGGAUUAUCUAAUUAUCUCUUUCAUAGGGAAAACACCUUUUAAAGGGGUGUGGGAAGUUACGAGAGUUACGGACAAUCUCUUCUCUGGGAGAAAAGGUGAGCUAUACUUCCUUAGAGAAAAAUACAAAGUUCUUCGGGGAUUUAGGUGUGUUUGCUGUGGAAAACACAUAAGGUCCGGUUCGUGAUCUUGUGUAGCACCAUCUGAAUUUUUGUUCGUAGUGAAGAAAGAUGGCCAGAACGAUUUUGAAGUCGGCUUCCGCUGCGAUCUUCAUCUCCAUGUUCAGGUAAAAUCUCUAACACGAAUUGUUUGCAGCAAUCAAUGCCAUAGGAAUGGCUGGUGGAAUUUUAACAUAUUGGAAGCUUGAUGUAAUGGAGGUCACAUGCUUAUACAAUGGAACAUUCUCUCUCAACACAUUGCACCAAUAUAAAGCAUCCAGAAAUAGAAAGAAAUGGGUUGUUACAAAUGUUCAUGGGCCUCAAGAAGCUCAGCAAAAGCAGGAAUUUCUAAAUGAAUUUGCUAAAGUUAGGGCACUGUGGAAAGAAUCUUGGCUAAUAGUUGGGGAUUUCAAUAUCAUGCACUUCUCAAUAGAAAGAAAACAGGCAAUAGCUGAGCAACAUGCAACCACAGACUUCAAUGACUUCAUAAACACUUACCCUCUCAUAGAGAUUAAGCUAAAGCACCAGCUCUUCACCUGGUCUAAUCACAGAGAGAUACCGUCACUUGCCAAAUUAGAUCGAUGCUUGGCUUCUCUGGAAUGGUUAUCAGAUCACCCACUGUCAUUACCCUCACCUCUUCCUAAAGUCAUCUCAGAUCAUGUUCCACUUCUCUUACACCAACCACUGCAACGCUCGACAAGCAAACCUUUCCAUUUUGAGCAUUUUUGGUUUUCCAUAGAAGGACUUGAUGAUCUAGUCUUAACUUGGUGGAAAGAAGCCUCAUCAUCUAAUGAUGCAGCCCCCAACAUUAUCCAUAAACUUCGCUUCCUCAGAUCAAAACUUAAGCAGUGGAAUGAGGAAAAGAAUGGCAACAUCAUACAGCAAAAAAUAAUAUUAAGAGGCAAAUAGAAAAACUGGACUUACAAUAGGAAAACAGAAAUCUUUCAAAUAAAGAACAGACUGAAAAAACUAACCUCAAAGCAUCCCUUGAAGCAAUUCUUAUUUAAGAAGAAACCUUGUGGAAACAAAGAUCAAGGAUUAGUUGGUUAAAAGCCGGGAAUAAAAACACAAAGUUCUUUCACUUGCAUGCUAGCUCAAGGAAAAAGAAGAAUGCAAUUCUACAAGUUGAACAUAAUGGUCAAAUCAUAUUAGAGAAGGCACAAAUGCAGAAAGUGUUCAUGGACUACUACAAAACUUACUAGGAACAUCAAACUGUCUCAUUGAUGAUAGAAUAUAGAUUGACUAGGAAGCUCUUUACAGUAGAGAAGCAAUAGAUUUAUCAGAUCUGCAUAAGCCUUUCUCAGAGAAAGAAAUCUGCAAUGCUAUCUUCAAUCUCCCCAGAGGAAAAGCCCUAGGACCUGAAGGAUUCACCAAUGCCUUUUACCAGCAUUAUUGGGAGCUCAUUAAAGAUGAUAUAAUCAGGCUAUUUGAUAGUAUCUAUUCAAACUCUAUGGACAUAGCCAAGUUAAGUUACACCUUCAUUUCUUUGAUUCCAAAGAAACAAGAGAGUGCUACGGUCAAAGACUACAGACCCAUUAGUUUGGUUAAUGGGAUCCUCAAAAUCCUCUCCAAGGUCCUAGCAACAAAAUUAGCACCAUUCUUACACUCUCAUUUCAGAUUCCUAGUGGGCAUUUGUCAAGGGUAGAUGGAACUAUGAUUGCUACACAUGUGCUAUGGAGAUUAUACGGAGCUGUAGACAAACAAAAUAGAAAGGCUUGCUAUAUAAAUUGGACUAUGAGAAGGCAUUUGAUAACGUUGAUUGGAGCUUUCUCCAAUCAAUCCUCACAACCAGGCAUUUUGGUACAAAAUGGAGUGGCUGGGUUAUGGCCAUCUUACAAUAAAACAAGGCUGCACUUAUCAUCAAUGGAGAGCCGACAGAAUGGAUUAAAACCAAAAAANNNNNNNNNNNNNNNNNNNNAUUGGAGCUUUCUCCAAUCAAUCCUCACAACCAGGGCAUUUUGGUACAAAAUGGAGUGGCUGGGUUAUGGCCAUCUUACAAUAAAACAAGGCUGCACUUAUCAUCAAUGGAGAGCCGACAGAAUGGAUUAAAACCAAAAAAAAAUUAAACCAAGGUGAUCCAUUAUCUCCAUUUCUUUUUAUUUUAGCAACUGAUGUCUUGGCUCGUGUUCUAGAACAGUUGCUACAAAAAACUUGAUCAAAGGAGUAGGUGCAACAGAAGAAAUGACAAAUACCCACUGCAUCCAAUACGCGGAUGACACCCUGCUCAUUUGCAAGGCCAAAUAAAGGUAUGCCUCUAACCUUAAGCUCAUCUUAUGCUCUUUUGAAUUGCUAACAGAACUUUAGAUCAAUUUUGAGAAGAGCUCACUGAUUAGAAUAAUGAUGCCUGAUUCAAAAGUAAAUUAUUUUGCCAAUUUAAUGGGUUGUAUUGUUAAGACACUUCCUACUACGUACCUUGCUUUUCCAUCUGUCUGGAGCAGCUUGUCUACCUUCUCAGCUAUCACCUUUUGCCGCUCAGGUAUGAAACUUCUCUUCUUUUACCUGAAGGGACAGUCAUUCGGACUCACAUUCAAUCGGUGCAUGAUCACCAAAGGAUCGAUUCCUAGCAUGUCUGCAGGCAUCUAAGCAAAAACGUUGGCAUUUUUCUGUAAAAAGGAGGUUAGCUGGUCUUUUAUUACCUGAUCCAGACUUGACCCGAUCUGGACCAUAUGUUCCUAAUUUCGAUCCAUCAAGAGAAUUGAAAUAAGGUCCUUGACUGGUUCUCCGUGUUCUUUGGCCAGUUCAUCACAGGUAUCUAGUCCCUCAAUCGAAUAUGACUCAGUAGGUCAAGUUCCUUGGAGAGCAAUAUUAUAGCAAUGACGUGCCAAGCCUUGGCCUCCAUGAACUUCUCCGACUCUGUACACCAUCAAAAAUUUCAUCUUCAGGUGGUAUGUAGAGAUGAUGGCUCAGAGUGCAUUCCAGCUUGGUCGAUCAAGAAUAGCGUUAUAUGUCGAGGAUGCUCGGACGACCAAAAAGUCAACUUGGAUAGUGGACUAGACAGAAAAUUGGCCAACUUUCAUGGGUAGCAUGAUGACUCCUUCCACAAGGAUGGUGUCUCUGGUAAAUCCAACAAGUAGAGAGUCCAUCCUUUCCAGCCGAUCAGUAGGUGUUCCUAUCUUUAAGAAGGCAUCAUAAAACAAGAUGUCAGUAGAGCUUUCAUUAUCCAUUAGAAUAUGACGUACAUCAUAGUUUGUGAUAUUUAAAUUUAUAAUCAUCACAUCAUUAUGCAGGAACUAAAUUUCUUGGACAUCUUCUUCUAUGAAGGUUAUCAAUUCUCUAGUUCUCCACUUUUUCGCCACUUCCUCAUCUCCAUCGGGUCCUCCAACGCAAUGCCCCCAGUAAUGGUGUUUAUUACACCGACUGGGGGUUGGUCCUCCUGUGGUUGCUCCGUCGAUCGAGGAGAUCUCUGUCGCUACUCCCUCUUUCGUCGGAUGAAUCGAUCGAGGUGACCAUUCCUGAUGAAAUUCUCGAUCUCAUCCUAGAGUUGAAUACACUCUUUUAUGUCAUGGCCAUGGUCUUGGUAGUACAAACAAUACUUAUUUGGAUUUCUCUGACUUAUGAGUGUCCAUAGCCUUCUUGCCUCUGGGAGCUGUCCUUUGAUUUCCAUCAGCAUCUGAGUCCUUAGAGCAUUCAGUGGGGUGUAAUUAUUGUAUCUCCUUGGCGGUGAGGCAUACUGAUCCCUUCUCGAAGGGCUUUAGGGUGGGCAAUUUCGAGGAGGGAUCAUUUUUUGACUUUCGAGAUGGGGACCUGGAGUGCUACCGGAUUUUCUCCUUUCACUUUGGGGAGCACUCCUUAUUUUGCUUUCCCCCAACGAUGGAGCUAGUGGGGGCUUCAUCUUCUGUGAAGACUUCCUCCAUGCGGGCAACUUCUCUGCCCAGGCCAGCAUAUCGAGGUAGUCUCGAGGAUAGAUCUUCACUAGUGACCUCUUAAGUUCAUUCUUUAGGAGUCUGCUCAUCAUCGUAGAUAUUGCGAUCAAUUGAUCCAAGCCACGAACUUUCAGGAUGGCUGCAUUGAAGUGGCCAACAAAAGCUCAGAUCGACUCAUCCUCCUUCUACUUGAUGGUGUAGAUGUAGUCGGACCGCUUCUAUUGACGUCGGCUGCUAACAAAAUGAUUGACGAAAAACCAGCCUAGCUGCUCGAAGAAAUGGAUUGAGGUUGGUUUCAAACUGGCAUACCAAUAUCGGGCUGCCCCUUUUAGAGUUGUGGGGAAGUCUCGAUAAAAGAUAGCAUCGAUUGCUCCAUAGAGGAGCAUCACCACCCUAAAGGUCUCGAGGUAACUGACAAGAUCGACAGUCUCAUCAUAGAUUUCAAAUUGUGGAGCCUUAAAAUAUCGAGGAAGCAACUCCUGCAUGAUCCUCGAAUCAAAGGAUGGAUUGCUAUUAAAUCCAUCAUAAGGUAUCGAGGAUGUAUUGUAGAUCGUAUCGAUCCACUAAUCAAUUUUUUGAAGCCAUCAUUCAAGCGCAGGGUCUCGGGUAGUACAGGCCUCGAAGUGUUGGGGGGAUCGUUGAUCAGAGGUUGAAUCAUGCCUUGAUCGGGGACUCGAAAAUCGUCGCCAUCUUAGUUUCAGAGUUCUGAAGCAACUUUGAUGGGUCUGUCUCCUCUUCGGGCUUUGCGGGGGUACCCGCAGUUGUUCCAAUGGUGGUGGCUGUGAAGCUGGAUUCAGAGGUGACACCAUCGAAAGGGGUGCAGGGAUAGCCUGAUCAGACUGCGGCGCUAUCGAUGGAGGUUCAGGGAUGGUCUGGAUCUCCUGAAUAGCGAUCAUCAGAGUUUGAAUCUACUGAAAGAGCAGGUUGAACUGAUCCGCUAUAACCAACGUCAGCUGGAAAGAUCGAGGAGUUUUCAUCACCGAUGGCUGUACCCGAUUAUUGGCCUAACUCUCCAAUGACCAAGAGGUGAUGGUGUUGGUGUGGCAAGAUGAAACUCUCUUAAAUAGCAUGAUUCUUGUUGGUUCUUAUUGCUUUCGAUCCAUGCUCCUCCAAACGGGCCAAAAAUCUUUUCUCUAGCACCAAUCUAUUGGUGCGAGAAUCCAUACAGCAUCAGGACACUGAAGUGGACGACGAGAUAGGCCUCCUGGGGGUAUGGCCUGCACAAAAGUUCUAAUCGGAGAUUGCUCCAGUGAGGAUCCUCCAAUGCUUAAUUUAAAACUCUCGUUCAAUAGAUGGAGGAGCGUGAGAGGCAAAAUAAUGGCUACUUUUUUUGAGAUCCUCUUCGAGCCUCCUUUAUGGGAGAAAAACUAGAGCUUCAGUUGGUAAAUUGGUUGACAUGAUCCUGCUUGAUCAGAAUGCGACUUGCAUGAGGUGGCAGGAUUAUCGCUCGAGAUUUUCAAGGUAUGGUGGUUGUGUUUGCCUUAUUAGUUUUGCGAUAGUUGUCUCUCAGCAGACAUCAAAUUUUGAUUUGGGUCGCUAACUAGAUGUCAUCGAGAUGGGAAUUGGUCGGCUACGACUAAGAGUCAAUCACCUUGUGUCAUCAUCGGAUGGAGGAGUCUAGAGCUAAGAUCUGUUCAGUAGUGUAAAGUUGGUCGAUCGAAUGUGAUUAGCUGAUGACCAUCCUUUAAUCAGAUUGAUCUGGCCAUUCAGAUGUGCCUUCGAUCCGUCAGCCCAACCUGUAAGAGUCAGCUGAUAAGGAAAUAUCGGUGAUUAUGCACAUGGGUUGACGAGCGAUAGCGGCAGGCUUUCAUCUGUUCGAGGUGCGGAGUGUUGACUAGGCAAACGUUGAGAAUUGGUCGGUAAAAGUUAUAGCCAACCAUGAGUUGGCAAAGACUUCAGUAGGUAGACUCAUCGUGUUUGGAUAUCCUGGGCCUUAGGCUUUUUCAUAUCAUCGGCCCAUGUAGAAUUUCUCCAACAAAUACUAUGAAAUAAAUCUAAUAAAUCAAAUUAAUUAUCUAGAACCCUCUAUCGAGGUUCACCAAGGUCCACCCUAGUCCCAAAAUUUUUUUCCUUCUAGAAUUUUCCAUAACCCAUCUAAAAAGAAAAUAAAUAAAUAAAUAAUUUAUUAAUCAAUUGAUUACAUAACUAGAAGAGAGAGAGAUCAUACCUUCUCUUCUUCUCUUCCUCUUCAAAAUAGGGGUUCAUUCCCCUUUCUCUCUCUCUCUCUUUUUUCGAUGGUGGUGAUGGAAGGCCGGGACCGACCACCUUGAUGGCUCCUAACAAUGGUGAAGCCAUGGCCCAUCAGUGGCCACGAUCGAUGGGAUCGGCAAAAAUAAAAAUAAAUAAUUAACUAAAUAAUAUUUUCAUAAUCUAUCUAAAGAGAGAGAAUAUAUAAUUAAUAAAUGAUCAACUAAAAAAAAUAAUAAACCAAAAAAGAGAGAGAAAAAUCCUCUUUUCUUCCUUUUUCUCUUCAAAAUAGAGGGUCUACUCUCCUUUUCUCGCUCACCCACUCAUGGCCGUGCAAGGCCAAGAUCGACCACCCAUGGCGACCCUCAAUGGCGGUGAAGUCAUGGCCACGACGAUGGCCCCAACGAUGGUUGUCGGUGAUGAUAGGUGGAACCAAAAAGAAAAUAGGGGCUGCCCUAUUUGGGAUGUAUCCAGCAGUUUGCCAACUUCAAUCAAGCGUCGGCGAUGAGGAAAUGAGCAAAAGAAAAAGAGAAAGAAAGGAAAAGGAGCUUACCUCACUCUGACGGCCAAAGAAGUGUUUUGACAAUCCCUUUCCUAGCAGCAACCCAUGGAAAAACUUUGAGAAAUCCUAGAUGAUCUACAGUGAUUUCUCAAGCAAAAUUGGAGUGGAGAUCUAAAAGAGGGGAAGGGGAUUCUUAUGGACAAGUUUCUUGGCCCUUUGUAGACUCCGUCAUCUUUAAUUUUUAACGAAAUCAGGAGAGAACUGGAGUCCUUUUAGGAGUCCUCUUCUCUAUUCUUUUUUUUUUUGUCCUGCAUUAAGAUUCAUGCAUAAGGAAAAAAAUCUAGGUCCUUACAUUUAUCUACCAUUCAUGUUUAAGUUUGAGAUAUUUUAUACUCGAACUCUACUGACUACAUAUGCUAGAGUAAGAUAAGACACAUAUUUAAUAAAAAAAAUAUAGAUAUAUAAUCUAUUAAAGAUAUAGAUUGAUUGUUUUAUUUGAUCUGUACUUUGGGUCGUAUCAAUUUUUCUAAACCAUCGAUCGAAAAGAAUCCUAUCUUGGGACUAUAAUUUAAAUUCACUUGAAAUUCUUCUAACGAGUAAAAAAAGACUCUUAAAUAUUUAGGGUGCAUUUGGUUAGCUCUUAAAAAUAUAUAUAUUUUUUUAUUUUUUAAUUUUAAAAAAGCAAAAAUCAAAAUGUAGCAUUUGAUAUUAAUUCAAAAAUUAAAAAAUCAAAAUCAAAAAAAUUAAAAAUAUUUAAUCUAUAUGAAAAGUAUUUUUUUUUUACUUUCGAAAAUUUGCUUUUGCUUCUUUUCAACUUAUCCUGACUCGUUCGACCCCCUCCCCCUUCCCCUCCCUUUGGCUCUCUGCCUUCCACACCACUGUCACCUCUGGUCAUGCCGAUUUUAUCUCCCUCCUCACUGGAUCUAACCCCAAUCCGACCUGGGCCGGCACCAUCGGACCUGACGGCCAGAUGCCUGUCUAUAUCACGAUGGUAGGAGGAACCUCAAUGCUGUCCGCCUCUGCAUCACCUCCGACGACAACGAUCCCAAACAUGCUGACUCAUGCAGGUGGACCCCACUCCAUUGCACUGCUUCGGUAGAUAUCUGGAUGUUGUCGAGUUCUUGAUCGAUUGGUCCGCCUACGACGCUCGGCUCGUGCGAACGAAAGACGGGCGAAAGACACCAUUCGACCUCGCCAUCGACUGGGGCCACUCGGGGCUCUAUGAUGUACUCGAAUUGAGUGACGCGCUUCACCAGGUGGUGCAUGGCAGCAACGUCGCUGAUGUGUGGAGCUGCCUGGCGUGAGGGGCGACGGUGGAUGGGGGGGACCAGAAUGGAUGGAUGGUGCUCCAUCAAGCGACGUUCAAGAGGCGGAUCGAGAUGGUAAGGGUGCUGAUCGAUGGUGGAGCGCAACUGGAUGCAGUGGAUCAAAAGAGUUUUUUUGGAUAAAAUUAUUCAUGUCGCUGAGAGGGCUUUUUUGGCUUCUUCACUUUCUCCAUUUGAUAAGAAGUGGGUGAUAGUUACCAAACAUAUUUUUUAUUUUUUUAUUUUAUUCCGUAAUAAAAAUAAAAAAAUAAAAAUUAUUUUUAAAAAUAAAAAUUUAAAAUCAAAAAGUGUAACCAAAUGCAUCCUUAGACAUCUAGAUCUUUCUUGAGCUCCCAGAAACCUGCAUUUUCCACAUUUUGGGAUGGGGUUACGUUUAUGUGACCUUUCUAUGGUAAAGUAAUCUACAACCAGAAAGGAACAUUGUUCGUAAUCUUUUAUUUAAUAUCAUUAUGAUCUUUAAUUAUUUGAUAAAUUUUUUAUAUAUACUUUUAAUAAAAUAAGUUGCUAUAAAUAUUAUAGAAUUUGAGGCACAAAAUGGAAUGUACUUAAUAAUUUUUUUUUGUUCAAGUACAAAUAGUUGACAGUAGUCUACUCUAUCAAUAUAAUAAACUACUACAUGUUCACCUUAAAAUGCACUCUGACAAAGUAGAAUAAAAGUCAAACCUAAACUAACUAAAUUCAAAUGCAGUGAAAAUAAACAAAAUCUAUCUCAAUUCUCUUUUGCGUGGACUCAUUUCUAUUUUCUCAAAUACUCAGAAAAUGUAUUUAUGUUCACUAAUUUUAAUACUCAAUUUAUUUUUCUCAAUUCCCUUCUGCAUUCCUUCUUAUGUUGUUCCGAUGGAUGUGAAAGAUGGUCCUAUUCUCUAUUUACAGAUAAAAAAAGUGAGUGAGAAUGAACAUUAGGCACCUUUUCAUUAGAUGCAUCCCUUUAUCAUAUGAUCUAUUUGAUCACCAAGAUUUGGAUCUCUUAAGAAUCAUCGUAUCAUUAGGAGAGUAUUUGGUUAGGGAGAGUGAAGAUUUGAAAUCGAAAUCGAAAUGGAUGACUUUCAUUCCAACCAUUUGGUUGGGAGGAGUCCGACUAAUUCCGAUUCCAGAGUGGAAUGGAAAUGGGAAUGGAUCAAUUUAUAUAGAACGCAACCCCUAUUCUCUUUUAUGGAUUCAAAUUUUCAUUUUAAUUCUGAUUCUAAUUUUGAUUCCGAUCAUGAACCAAACGCUUCGAAGAAUUUGAUCAUUUCGAUUUCAAUUCCUGUCAUUCCGAUUUUCAUUUUCAUUUCGAUUUCGAACCAAACACCCCCUAAAUGUAUUAGAUUAAAUACAUCAAGAUGCAUCUUUUCAUUAGAGUACCCUUCAAAGAGAACAUAUGCUAGUUUUUUUGUAUCUAAUAAAUAGAUCGUUGCCAACUGGUUGUAUUUAUACUUUAAAAGGAGUGUCUUCCAUAGGGUGCCUUGAACUGAUUAACAUUUAUAAAAUAAAUGUCUAUGCGGCCUAUUCAUAGUAAAGUAAUCCAAAAUUGGAAAGGAACAUUGUUUGUAAUCUUUUAUUUAGUACUAUUAUUAUUAUCUUUAAUUAUUUAAUAAAUAAUUUUUUAUAUAUACCGUAGAAAAAAUAAAUUAUUAUAAAUAUAGUCAAAUUUUAGGCGCAACAUAGAAGUCACUCCUUUUAUAACAUUUAUAACAACUUAGUUUAUUUGCUAUGCCAAAAGCUAUUUGUUAAAUAAUCAAAGAUGAUGAUAAUAUUAAGUAAAAGAGUUUCAUCAAUUUUGGAGUAGAAUCUUUUAUAUUUAUUAUUAUUAUUAAGGCAUCUUUAGAUGAUUACAUCUCUACCAUAACCAAAAAAUUCUAUAAGUAGAAUUUCUGCCACUAGCAACACUAGAUGUACUAAUGAUUGAUCCUAUUAGGGUUAUAUUCUAUUGCUAAAAAUCCUAAUCCUAGUGCUUUAGAUGGGAAACUAGUUAGGAAACUACUACCUCUAAAAUUGAGAAUUCGACUACUAAAACUAUAUCAUAUAUUAGAAAAGAUUUCAUUUGCCAUGAUAGAAUUUUAUGUGUACUUUCUGAUAAACUAUGAUAUAUGUUGCAAUGCCUCCACCAUACAUAAUUUAUAAAGUAUAUUAGAAUAAAAAUAUGAUAAAGAAGAUGAAUAUUUAGAAGAAUACCAUUCAUGAAGUUUUUGAUGUAUAAGAUGACAAAUAAAAAAUAAAUUUUACAACAAAUUUAUUAAUUAUAAGCAUUGGUUCAUGGUACAAGCUUUAAAACAAAAAUUGAUGAGAAAUUUCUAAUAUCUACAAAUUCUUUUGAAAUGACCUCCUAAGUAAAAAUCUCUGUACUUGAAUAGUUAAUUGAAGAUACCAUUAACAGGUUGAUGGGACCAAACUCGUGAAUGAAAGAUGCACCAUCUCUUAUUAUUGAUCAACACAAAGCAACGUGACCUAUGGAGCCUAAAUUGGUGCAGCCAUUGAAGAACUCUUGGAGGAUAUGGAGCAACUCUUUUUUUGAAGCGUGGUAGAAGUGUCGGAAAUGCAAUUAAAAGCCAUUGGAACCAUGAGCCUUUGCACCUCAAAUGUCCAAAAUAACCCAUCUAAUUAUCUUAAUCACCAAAGCUUGGAAGAUGGAAUCAAGAUUCAGAUUAGUGCAAUAAUACAAGGAAAUCAAUGAGAGUGGGGCUGCUCUUGCUUUGAGUUUCAUGUUCCUAAUAUGCUCACUAGGAGAAGUUAUUAGUUGUAUUAGGUCUGCCACCUUAGCAGUGGAGUGGACCCAUCCGACUAUGAAGCGACGUGCAUACUCAUGGAUAAGAAAGAUAGGUGCAUCAUGAUGGACUUCGUCCAACCAAUAUCAGACCCUUGUGAGUCGACCCUAAAGAUCCGAUUUCUCGGUUGGUUCUGAGUUGGUAAUGCGAACUCGUUAGCAGUCACAAUUUUGAGUCACCAGAAAUUUGACGGUGAAUACACCUAUCUAAUGCUUAACACGUAAGCAGGCUUAUAACGGCUCCAUUGCCUGGGGCAAGCAUAUAAAUAUAAAGAAAGGCCCAUCCCGUUCGCAUAAACCAGACUUCAUGGACGUCGGUAAAGAUGCCUCUGCCUCCUCCCUCUCUCCCCGUGCUUUCUCUCUCCUUGAGAGAGGAGGCGAGCAAUCGAUCUCCUCCUCCUCUCUCUCUUUCCCUUUUUUUUUCUUUUUCUUCUCCGGCUUCUCCUCCUCCUCCUCCUCUUCUUUUCAUUUCGUAUGUUGAGGCGAUGAUUAUAGAUGGCUCGCGAAGGGAUUGUUCUUCUUCUCCCAUUCUUUGUAUGCCUCUUCUCCCUUCUUCUCUAGCGAUAGGGCGAGCAGCAGCCAUUGUUAGUUGGGGAGGAGAAGAAGACACGGUGGGAUCUUUUUCCUAGAUCGGCUUAUAGCUUUCUUUCUCAAGAUUGGUUAGUCUUCUCUUUUUUCUUCUCCCUCUACUUGUUCUUGGAGUUCCAGGUGAUAAUGGCAGCGACGUCGUGCUUCUUGUUAUCUUUUUCUCUUUCUUCUUUUAUGUUUCUUCUCUCUUGCUUUUUCCGUUCUUCUUUGUUUCCCAAAUUGGAAGAGCGGCAUUGCUUUUAGAUUCUAUAAAGGAGGCCGUGAUGAUUCUUGGACGAGUGGUUUUGCGACGUUUGGUGCAAAAAAUGACUUGACGGCGAGGCAAUCUUGGAUGGUCUACUGCUGUUCUUCUACAGGCAGCCGUUUGCAGCCAAUUUGAUUUAUUAGUUGCAGAUCAAUUGGUGAAUCUGGCCUCCCUCUUCAUCUUCGCCUUCUCUACUUUCUAAUUGCUUUGUUUUUUUUUCUUUUUUCAAGAUUCUUUUUUUAGGGUUUCUCGAAUUUCUUUACUAUGGUUAAUAUUGCCGCCGAUGAAUCCAUAACAAAUUAGAGUUUCAAGAACCCAAAUCCUCAAAUUGCUAUUUAGUCUGUCGAAAAAUAAGGAUUUGUCUUGCGACCUUAGGUUUUUAUGGCAUUCGAGGGAAGUACCUGAGUUGCUGUCUUCUUUUAUGUUUCUGCUCUCUUGCUUUUCUCCUUCUUUAUUUCUCAAGUUGGGAAAGGGGCAUCGCUUUUGGUUUCUGUACAAAGAGGCCCUGAUGAUUCCUGGACAAGGGUUUUGCUAUGUUUUGUGCGGAAAACAACUAUUUCUUGACGGUGAGGCAAUCUUGGAUGGUCUGCUGCUUUUCUUCUGCAGGCAACUGGUUGCAGCCAUUUUGAUUUUUUAGUUGCAAAUCAAUUGGUGAAUCAGAGCUUCCCUCUUCAUCUUCCCCUGCUCUGCUUUCUACUUACCUGGCUUUUUUUCUUUUUUUUUUUUUUCCAAGAAUCUUUUCUUUAGGGUUUCUUGAGUUUCUUCACUAUGAUUAAUAUUGCUGCCGAAGAAUGCAUAGCCAAUUAGAGUUUCAAGAAUCCAAAUCCACAAAUUGCUAUUUAGUCUGUUGAAAAACAAUGAGUUGUAUUCUUGACCUUAAGUUUUCUUGGCAUUCAUGGGAACUAUUUGAGUUGCCACUGGCAACAAUUGUUUUGAUCUUCUUCUCAUUGUUACUUUCUCCUACAUUCUUUAUUUUCUUUCCUUCUAAGGAAAUUGCGAUAAAUGAGAGCUUGGAAACUCAGAACUCGAAGAAAAAUUCUGGGUUGCUAUACCAAGCUACCAUUACCCACCAGAGAUGGUUUCUCUACACCACUGCAGGAGGUGCACAGAAAUUUCUCUAUAGCUGGUAAGGUUACUUGCUUCCCUGGAAUCGCCUAACAUUUUUCCCAAAUAAUUCUCAAGAUCUGAGUGAAAAAAGUGGACUUUUGCUUGUAACAUGAUAAGACUAAAUGCUGAACAAUUUUAAUAAAUCCAACCAUUAUGUUCAGGUUAAAGCUUGUUAGCUAAAGUUAAAUUAGAUGAUAUAAUCCAUUAUUACUUUUAAAGCUGUAUAUUGCUGCAUAGAUAAGGUACAUUGCACUAUGUUUAUUAAGUUGACAUGGUGUUCUUCUGAUUACUGCAAAAAGAGAGACUUCAGGCUAUUGAUUGCAAAUUUGAAGGUACUUGUUUCUUUCAUUCUCCUUGUGUCACAAAAAUGUAGGACCAUUGUGCAUAACAUGUUUCCUUGCUAUAUACGAGUGCCAUUAGGUUGUGAGCAAUACAUACUUGUAAUUAACCUGGGCAUUUCUUGUUUGUUUAUUGAUGUCAAUGUGGUUGCUUAUGAAACUAAUUUACUUUGGAGAGGAUUAAUCUGGAAAAAGAGUUGUUAAAUAGGAUCAUAGUGGCACUAAAUGUAUCCUAUAAGAAUAAUGAAUGGGGAUGAAUUGUUUGGAGGCCAGCCUCAAAUAAUUAAGGAAAGAGUUUUUGGCUAUGAUUAUGGUGAUCUAAGAGAAUCUAAAAUAGUUUUGAGUGAUGUAUAAAUACCACUAGGGUACGAACUGGUCUUGUACUGCAUGUUUUAACUAGGUACUUAUUCAAGAUGAUUAUUACUCUAAAGGAUUAUUCUAUCUAUCCCUGAACCAGUAGAUGCUGGUCAUAAUUGAGCCGAACGAAGUAGAAUCGGUUGGUUUGACUCAGUUGGGACCGGUUUGGACUGGUUACUGCUGAGUCUUGAACCUAAUCCUCAUACCAACCUGGUUCCGCAUUUUAUAUGGGAUACCUUGAACUGGAUAGGACCGGUUGCUUUGAGAAUCUUGCCUAAUACAGUGCUGAAAGUGGAUAUGAACAAGGACUCUUUAUUUUUGAUAGAAUCAUGAGGUAUCUUAAGGACUUGAAUUUUAAUGACAGAAAAAGAAAAGAAUGGUUGAUUGAAUCUAUUCCUCAACUAACAAAUAUGAAUCAGGCUCUUCUUUAGGCUUGCUUUGCUUUAUUUUCUCAGCGAUGUUCAACAUAAUGUAAUCAGUCAGGUUUAUUAUUUAGAUCCGAUGGAAUUAUUCCUAAGUCUUGUGCAUGGGUGGUGUUACGUGGAUAGGUGUAGUUCUGUGUAUGAAUAACAUGGAUCUAAUUAAUCUUUUUUUUUUUUUGUAAACUGAAAAGAUGUACCCUUUGAACUUCAAAAAAAGAAAUGAGAUUUGCAAUUGAUGUUCACCUUCCAUAAUAUCCACAGAAAAUAUAAAAUUACAAACUAUGAACCUAGUCCAAAAAUAAACUGAUUACUUGCCUUGCCACUGUCUAGCAUGAUGGCAUGUACAUGGUGGCAACUUUUGGAGAAAGCCCUUUUAGUUUCAAACCCGUGGAAAGCUCUGCAUCCAUAGUACUGAGCAUCAAAUGUUAAUGUCGUAUAUUAUGUUAAAUUGUUCAUGUGUUGCUGAAAUGUUCUGACCAGAUCUUAAUUUGAAAGUACCUGUGGGUUGUGAGUUGGGAGGGAACCCCUCUAAGGGGUAUCUUGAGUCAUAUUCAGCUUUUCAGUAAACCUUAUUUAUUUAUUUAUUUAUUUAUUGCAAUAGACCUGUUUAUCUAGUGCUCAAGGUUAUGUUAACUUGAUAUGUAAGACAUAAGCUUCAAAAUGGUCUUUAUAACGGUUCCAAGAUUUAGAAGGAGCAUGGGCAGGCAUACCACAUGACAGGUAAUCACCUUCUCAGAGAGCUGGUUCUUGUAUGUUGGUAAACAAGGCCUAGCCUUCUACCUCUCCUUGUCGCCUCGCUUUCUACUUAAGAGAGGAGGUGAGCAUCUACAUAGAUUUCUCAGCUACCCUUCACACACCGUUCCUUAUCCUUUUCUUCAUCUCUUUUUUGUGUGUAUAGAUGUAUUUAUGUUUGUAUAUUGAUGCCACAAUGGGUGACUUCCAGAAUUGUUCUUCUUCUCUUCUUUGCAUGUCAUUUUCCCUAUCACUUGGCGAGGCAUUUCUGGAAGGUCUGCUAUACUGCUGGCUACUGAUCUGUAGCCAUUGCAAGUUGGAUAGGUCAUGACCUGAGGAAAAGAGGAAUCUUCUCCUCUUUUUUGUGUGUAUAUAUGGGUUUAUGUAAUGUAUAUUGAGGCAAUGAUGGGUGACUUGUAAAAUUGUUCAUCUUCUCUUCUUUGCAUGUCAGCUUCUCUAGCAAUAGGUGAGGCAUUUAUGGGAGGUCUGCUAUUCAGCAGGCAACCGAUUUGUGGCCAUUGUUAGAUGGAGAUGUCAUCAGCUGAGGAGAAGUGGAAGAUGGGGUGGGGGAUCUUUUGGUCUGUUGAUUUAAAUGUUCCUCUCAGCCACUACAAGCCCAAGGCCCAUGAUUGUCUAUUUAUUAUGAAAAGGCCCUUUCUCUUUCUUGUUGUUGCCAGACCAUCAAAAUUAACUGAGCAGCUUGAGCUCUCAUACCUAGAACAACUCAGAUAAAGCUUUGUUCAAAGCUAAACAAAGUAAAGUGGAACCAGAAUGAUAGGCUUAAAAUAAUUUCGAUUGGAGCCAGAAGUUGACCUAGCUCAAAAUAAUGGUAAACAGAUCAAGCUUGAUCUCUGGGUUCCAGCUUGAAGUUAAUAUCAUGUGCUGUUUGAUUAGACCAAAGCUUAAUCAAUCUCUGCUCAUUCGUCUCUGUUUCUUUUGGUUCCUAUUCUUUUUUCCUCAAAUUGGGAAAGUGGCAUUGCUUUUAGGUGUAUCCGAAGAGGCUGUGAUGAUUUCUGAAUGGGGAUUUUGCUACAUCAUGAAGUGGAAAACUAUUUUGAGCGGCAAGUCAUGGUCUGCUGCUGUUUGUCAGGAAGCAUAUUGGAGUUGGUUUGAUGUAGUUGCAGAGUGCUCCGAAUUAACAUAAUGCCGGAUAAAAUGGUGAAUUUGAGUCUCUUUCAUUUGCUUUUUAAUCUCUUAUUUUUUGAAGAUUUUGUGUUUUUUUAAAGAUUUCUUUAAUGUGAUAACUUUAAUUAAUUUUUUUCUGACGACUUUUUCUGUGGUUCCUGAAGAAUGCAUAGGAUUUGGAGGAUAAUGAAAGUUUCAGGAUGAGGAUGGUAUCAAUAAAGGUAUGAUUUUGACUUUGAGAACCUAAAUUCUCAAAAUUUGUAUUUUUCUUGUCAAAAAUUAGGAAUUGUUUGCUAAAUACUAGAAUGUAUAACACUUUUACAGGUCGUGAAUCUACUCCCAUUCCUACCUCAUUUUCUCAGUUUUCCUGAUUCUUCUUUUUUAUUUUAUUUAUUUUUUCCCAUAUAACAAGGGUUUUGGUCUUGCAUGGAUUUCUUUUUUCUCCAUUAUUCUCUAUUUUCCUAAUUUUCUUCAAGCAAUAGUAUGAAAAAAAGACAAAGUAGCAUGCUUAGAGGCUGACUAGGGUUGGUGACAACUUCAAGUUCUAUUUUUUGAGCUUCCUUUAUGUCGGAGUGGGAGUGGCAGAUGCGGAGGUAGAAAUUUCUCUAGAGUUGGUAUUAACUAAGGUAAUCUGCUUGGACUUUCUUAUGAUGAUGUCCUUAAUCUUGUUAAUAGGUAUCCAAUCAAUCUAUUAUUUAUUCUCAAGCAAUAGAGUGGGCAGCAGCCAUUAUUAGAUGGAGAAGGAGAAGAAGACAUGGUGGGAUCUUUUUCGUAGGUUGGCUUCUAGUUUUCUUUCUUAAGAUUGGUUGGCCUACUCCUCUUUCUUCUUCCUUGUUGGGUGGAUGUCUGGCCAGGACACCAUCUCCUAAAACAUUUUCGGUACUGCGCGAUGCAGCAGGAAAAAAAAACAAAACAAAAAAUAAUCAAAUACGUAGAUCAGCCACAAAAGGGUUCGCCUCCACGGGACAUGUAAACUUCACUAUGAAAAAAAAAUUUACAAGAGGAGAUCUCACCCUCAACCCUCGUACACCCAAUUUCUCCCUCACAGAAAGUUCUCCUCACAAAAGUUCUCUCCCUUGGAAGACCCUCCUGAACCCCUGAAGCGAUCGGCAUCUGCCGUCCAGGAGCCUCUUGCUCCUUUCUCAGCGAUGCGGUCUCUCUCUCUUCUCAGGUUGGUUUUCGUGCGACCACAGACCUCACGGGUUUUCGUGAGGUAAAACCAAGCCGCCACACGCUGUUUCAGGUGUUCUCAGCCUUUUAAUGGCUUAAACACCAAUUAGGUUAAGAUUAGGAGUCCCAAACAACCCCAAAUAACUCCCAGGACCGUUAGAUUAAGAUCC